GACGUUGGUUUCUUUUCCUCCUCCAUCCUUUGCCGAACCCAAUUCUCAAGCAGCCGGAAAAUCAACCAAACCUCCAUCCCACGUAUCCCCGCCCUUCACUGAUCUUCCUCAGGAAAUCCAACGCAUCCCCUUCGCCGAUGUUCAGGGAACCCAACGCUGCCCUUCACCGAUCUUCCUCAGAAUUUGAAGUUCAUCAUCCGACUCCGAAAAACAACUAGACAUACGCUAGUCCUCUUCAUUUGAACUUUUUUGAUAAUUGUGAAGGCUUCAAAUGAGAAGAUGUGGCUCCUCUUCAUCUGAAUUUUUUUGUCCUACAGUAGUUCACUUUCUUUCACCUUUUCCUCUUCAUAAAGUUGCAGUAGAUGGGAAAAGCAUCCGGGUUAUGGCUUUAAGCAUUCGCCUAUUCGGAAGAAAUGCGUUCAACUAGGACUCGAAGGGCUCCAAUACUGGCAUACUGCUACUAUUAAUUUAUGGAUUAUAAUCAUUGAUCUCGUACAGAUAUUUCGUUUUUGUGAUUUCUUUUGUUGCUCAUAAAGUCUCGUGCAAUGAGAAGGCCUUCAUAUCAUCAUAUGUUCAAGAGUGCACUAAGUUCAUAAUUUAGCAUUGUUAUUUGUUAAAGAUGAAAUAUGAAUCUGUAGGAAACAAACACUAUUACUUUGAUUCAAGACAAACAGAUCCUUUCAUUUA
Long non-coding RNA from Asparagus officinalis (garden asparagus), 687 nucleotides. RefSeq lists it as uncharacterized. NCBI's taxonomy places the organism in Eukaryota, Viridiplantae, Streptophyta, Magnoliopsida, Asparagales, Asparagaceae. The transcript has 4 exons. The record is from RefSeq and is a predicted model, not a curated record.